AAGGCCUGAUGUGUGUGAGAUUACCCGCUGAAUUUAAGCAUAUAAGUAAGCGGAGGAAAAGAAACUAACUAGGAUUCCCUUAGUAAUGGCGAAUGAACAGGGAUCAGCUCAGUGCCAAAUCGGAAUCACUUGUGGUUCUGAAAUGUGGCUUGAAGGCAGUACCAGUGGCAUCGCGGACGAAAGUCUCUUGGAAAAGAGCGUCAUAGAGGGUGAGAAUCCCGUGAGUCGUUCGCCGUUUGUCACGUACGGUCUGCGUUCUAACGAGUCGCGUUCCUUGGGAUUGGAGCGUAAACGGGUGGUAAAUUUCAUCCAAAGCAAAAUAUAUACUCGAGACCGAUAGCACAAAAGUACCGUGAGGGAAAGGUGAAAAGAACUUUGAGAAGAGGGUUAAAUAGUGCCUGAAAUCGUUGAGAAGGAAGCGGAUGCCGCCGUUGCAUAUGCUGAUUGUAGGAUUGCUGCUCGCUCCUGUCUUCUGCUACUCAUUCACAGACCUGGUCGUGUUGAGCAGUUGUUUGGCAGAUGUUAGUGGUGUUUCCUACUUUCAGUCGUCAGCAUCACUGGCUGAGUGGAAAUAAUCCUUGGAUGCUAAUUGGUCGUCGUCGGCUGGAACUAGCUAGAGAACUAUAAGAGGCUUGGUUGAUCAGUCGUCUGUGAGGGUCGUCUUGAGGUGUAGCCUUGGAUCUCACGGCUGGCUGAAAAACGGGCCAUUGAAAGUAUCGAGCAACUGACUGAAGUGGCCAGGCGACGCCCUUUUUCCCCCCUUUUUUUUGUACUUUCGGCUAACUCAACACGGAUUGCGCUUCCCGAAACGUGUAUACUGAAACAGCAUCACCCAUAAAUCAAAUUAUUGGUGUAGAGGGCCACCUUGCUGGCCAUCUCGAAAAGUUGGCGACAUGUUCGUAACUUCGACGAGAGGGUCCGUCGGCUAGAUUCUGUUUGCUGGGAACGCGAGUGACCCAGAUUGAGAUGUUAUGUCGCGUGGCUAUACGCCAGAAGCUGGAGACCAUACGGUUUAGAUCCUCUUGACGGGAGCUGCCCUUGACCAGGGCGUACUCUACCGGCUCGCUGUCGACGUAAAUGACGCAAGACUUGUUCUGGAGAACGUUACAGAAGGUUUGUAGUGUCGUCACAGCCGCGAGAAGCUCCAAUGGCACAAUUUGUGUCUUGCGGGCCUGCCAGGACUCUAGAAUCGCCUGCGGAGCGGUCUCGGAAAAGAAUUUAUCCUUGUCGGAGCUGCCAUGAGGAUUGCAGA
This 1252-nucleotide non-coding RNA is filed under the name Perkinsus marinus ATCC 50983. RNAcentral's name for it is "Eukaryotic large subunit ribosomal RNA". It matches the Rfam family "Eukaryotic large subunit ribosomal RNA", at positions 1 to 632 of the family's 3401-position model. Lineage: Eukaryota; Perkinsozoa; Perkinsida; Perkinsidae. The record is from Rfam by way of RNAcentral.